RNAcentral lists this long non-coding RNA (1871 nucleotides) under Mus musculus (house mouse). Its description in RNAcentral is "long non-coding RNA chr1:16924517-16926388". The record is from RNAcentral. Lineage: Eukaryota; Metazoa; Chordata; Mammalia; Rodentia; Muridae.
GGUUUCUGUCUGUGCCCUGGAGCUGACCCUGUGCCACAGCACUCCAUACCCAAAUUCCACUGGAAAAGAGGUGGUCUCCGAGGAGUGCUAACACACAGGCUUACAGGAGGGACAAGCCACAGUCAGAGACAGCAAGACCAGCUGACAAGAGAUAACAAGAUGGCGAGAGGCAAGUGCAAGAACAUAAGCAACAGAAACCAAGGCUGCUUAGCAUCAUCAGAACCCAGUUUUCCCACCACAGCAAGCCCCGGAUACCCAACACACCAGAAAAGCAAGACUAUGAUUUAAAAUCACAUCUCAUGAUGAUAAUAGAGGAUGUUAAGAAAGACAAAAUAUCUCCCUUAAAGAAAUACAGGAGAACACAGGUAAACAGUUAGAAGCCCUUAAAGAAAAAACACAAAAUUCCCUUAAAGAAUUACAGGAAAACACAAUCAAACGGGUGAAGGAAUUGAACAAAACCAUCCAGGAUCUAAAAAUGGAAAUAGAAACAAUAGAGAAAUCACAAAGGGAGACAACUCUGGAGAUAGAAAACCUAGGAAGGAGAUCAGGAGUUAUGGAUGCAACCAUCACCAACAUAAUAUAAGCGAUAGAAGAGGGAAUCCCAGUUGCAGAAGAUAGUAUAAAAAUCAUUGACAGAACAGUCAAAGAAAAUGCAAAAUGCAAAAACUCCUAACCCCAAAUCCAGGAAAUCCAGGACAUAAUGAGAAGACCAAACCUAAGGAUGAUAGGUAUAGGAGAGAGUGAAGAUUCCCAUCUUACAGGGCCAGUAAAUCUCUUCAGCAAAACAAUAGAAGAAAACUUCCCAGGCUGGUUAGAUGGAUCAGCAGGUAAGAGCACUAACUGCUCUUCUGAAGGUCCUGAGUUCAAAUCCCAGCAAGCACAUAGUGGCUCACAACCACCCAUAAUAAGAUCUGAUGCCCUCUUCUGGUGUGUCUGAAGACAGCUACAGUGUAGUUAUUUAUAGUAAUAAUUAAAUAUUUGGACCAGAGCGAGCAGGGACUGAGCAGAGCUGAUUGGAGUGAGCAGGGACUACCAGAGAGAGCAGGGUCUAUCGGAGCAAGCAGGGUAGACCUGAUUGAGCAGAGGUCCUAAAUUCCAUUCCCAACAACCAGAUGAAGGCUCACAACUUUCUCUAUCUGUACAGCUACAGUGUGUACUCAUAUACUUAAAAUAAAUAAAUAAAUAAAUAAAUCUUUAAAAAAUAGGAACAUGAAAAGAUAAUGUAGUAUCCUUUAAAAAAAAGGAAAUUGAGCAGAGGUGUAAAUUGAUAGGGAACUUGGGGUAACAGCCAGAAAGUCCCAGAUGCCAGGGAAGCAAGAGCCCCACAGUGAUGACAUUAGCUGAAAUACCCCACAAAGGUGAGGGAGAACCAUAUCCAGAGGUUAGGUGUGGCCCUCUAUUUAAAGAAUGGGGCCACCCAUCCAUCUCCAAAAUUUUAACCCAGAAUUCCUCCUGUCUAAAGUAAAUAUAGGGACAAAGAGUAGAACAGAGACUGAAGGAAAGGCCAUCCAGACACUGCCUCAUCUGGGUAUCCAUCCCACAUGCAGACCCAGACACUGUUGCUAAUAAGAUCCGGAUACAGUUAUCUUCUGAGAGGCUCUGCCAGAUCCUGAUCAAUACAGAUGAAGAUGCUUUCAGCCAACCAUCGGACUGAGCAAAGGGACCCCAAUGAAGGAAUUAAGGAAAGGACUGAAGGAACUAAUGGACCCUUACCUGGCAUCAAUGGGAGUGGAGGCCCUUGGUCCUGUGAAGGCUUGAUGUCCCAGUACAGAGGAAUGCUAGGGUGGUGAGGCAGGAGUGCGUAGGUGGGUAGGGGAGCAACCUCAUAGAAGCAGGUAAUGGGGGCAUGGGAUAGGGGGUUUGCAGAGGGG